This 564-nucleotide ribosomal RNA is filed under the name Triticum aestivum (bread wheat). Its description in RNAcentral is "partial small subunit ribosomal RNA". Lineage: Eukaryota; Viridiplantae; Streptophyta; Magnoliopsida; Poales; Poaceae. The record is from RNAcentral.
AUGGUGGUUCAGAAGGUGCCACAAGUGGUAAGGCAAUCAGAGGUUCAGUCUAGUGGUACACAUGAAUCUACAUGGGUAAAACCACCACCUGGCUGGGUGAAACUGAAUGUUGAUGGGUCACAUAUCCCUGGCGAGUGUACUGGAGGUGCGGGCAUGGUCUUGAGGGAUGACACGGGUGCCAUCAUCUUCUCGUCGUGUCGGUUUCUUCGAUCAUGCCACACAUCAAUGGAGGCGGAAAUAGCAGCGUGUCUCGAGGGCACGUCCCUGGCGCUGCAGCGUACAGAGAAACCCAUAAUUGUGGAACUAGACUGUAAAGAAGGAGUGGUAGCUUUGACAGACAGCGGAGUUAACAGGUCUUCGUUGGCCGGGUUUAUCGAGGAGACGAAGAGGCUAUUGCAUGGAGUACAGCGUCAUGUUUUUGCCCACGUCCGACGCACGGCCAACAUGGCCGCGCAUUGCAUGGCUCAAAGAGGACGUACUAGCCAACGUACUAUGGUUUGGCUGCAAGCUGGGCCUGAUGAUUUAUGUUCUAUUUGUGAAAACGAAUGUACAAACAUUACUUAA